ACCUUUUGGUCAAUAAAAUAGGUAUAAUUUCAAAGCAUUUAAUUGUAGCGGUGGUCUGAAGGGACUUUGAAGAAAAUCAAUAAUUUAAAAGAGAUAAGUAAAAGAAGACCUCAAUAUUUGAAUGGAGUAGCCGUUGAAUUCAUUGCAGCGUUUAAAGUGAACAGAUUACGUUCUGUUAUUUUGGGACGCUUAAAUUUUAACAAUAGGUGGCGCUAGAAAACCUAGUUAUUACCGGUUAAGCUCAGCGGGAGAUUAGUCUACUCUGGUGGGGUAUUGAUCAGGGAAGAUUAGCGGGUUGAUCUAAAUAUGGAGGAUGAUUUUAGAUCGGGGGCAUUUCCGCUGCAGCUGGCUUUAAAAGCUCGGAGGCGUGCAGUUUCGCUCUCUUUUUUGUGUGCGCAGCCGUAAGGGACAGUCGCGUCUACGUUGAUUUAAAAUCGGUUAUAAGUUUAUCUAAUCCAAUUUCUCUCAGUGUGUACAAACGCUUGUAUGCAAGCUUAAAGCUUUUAUAUACAAGCCUCAAUCUCCAGAAUUUUUUUUUUACGAUGAGGAUCUCUACACUUUUGUGCAGUCAACACUAAAUUUUAAUGCAUAACUUUGGGGAUGGCCACUUUUAUGCCACUUUACAGCUUUCAGCCCUCGGAAGAUCGAUCUUUCUACGCUGGAUCCGGAGUGAACAAUGUGAGUCGUUUAGUACAUGGUUUUAUUAUAUCAUAAAUUCCCCUUAUUGAAAAUUUGCCUAUUGAGAAAUUUUAUAAGAAACUGCCCAACAUUGUAGCGCGCCUAGUCGUCUAUGCAUUUAUCAAAAUUUAAAUAACGUAAACUUAUAACAAAGCUUUAAGCUUGACUAAAAGUACACCAUUUAUCUCUCAAAUUUGGCCUAAUAGAAUACCUAAACCUCUUCAAGGUGUAUAUUUACAUAUCGAAGCCAUGCAUGUGUACUUUAUGAACACUUUUAAAAAUUUACUUUUGAAUCCUUUUGAACAUUAGACAAAUUUAAAUCGAAAACCUUAUGAAGAAUUUUGUUUCUACUUUUUAUAUUCAAUUUGUAGCAUUAAAGUUAUCUAAGUACUUGAAUUCAUUUAUCUUUAUAUUAGCACCUAAGUCUAUUUGAAAAUUAAACCCCGUCAAUAUUGAUCAUGAAAACUAACUAAAUCUAUAACAUCUGAACUCAGCUAAUGACCUAGCGGUCGCAGGAUAAAGGGGUCAUCAGAGCCAUUCUCAAGGAUGAUGAUCUUAGGUUGGGAGGGCAAAUUGGAGACCACAUCUACACCAGUGGUUCCGUCUAGUUUACAUCUUCGCACUCUCGUUCUUUUCUAUCCCCUUCUGUAAGAUUUGAUCUUCUAUCCUUUACCGGUUCUAUCUUGCAAUUCUUAUGUCGCUAGCACGCUCAAUUUCUUGACUUUAGGUUAUUAAUUUGUAACACGUACGAUCCGUCCGAAACAAGACCUCCACCCCCAAGCCGACGAGCGAGAGCCGGAUUCUAUAGCGUGCCCCUGUGAAGACGGGUCCCCUUCAUCACCCAGACCGUUACACGUUACAGUUCUAAUAAUUAAUAAUCCUAAAGAAAAGUGGCGCUCAACGUGAAGGGCCUCUGUGAGUAAAACAAACACUCAUAGGGACUUACGAAUAGAACUUCAAAUUUUAUUAUUCUAAUCCUUUUAUCCAAAGGUCUGGCUAAAAGCAGAAGAUAGCGAGGAUAACAGUUAAAAUUACAUUAGUGUCUUUUCUGGCCAAAGCUAAAUUCUGGAUUUAUCCACAUCAUUUCCUACGAAACCAUCGGAGAAGUUUAGUUAGUGCGCGAACACAGAACAAAUACAACUGCUGGUAGUUGUCUGUCCGACUAAAAUUAACACCCAUGGAAAUCGUUUCUAUUCCUCUCGUAAUAAGGGUAUCGCUAGUCAAAAUUUAAUGGGAAUUUAGUGCACAAGCUUGCGAGCAGUGUAUUAACCUAAAAUUUAAUAGCGAAAACCCGAACUUUUAACUCUAUUUACUUUCCGAGAUAAAAUAAACAUUCCGUAGAUUCUGAUCUGGAAACAAAUGCUACAUUUUGUAGAAAGGGCAUUGACCAGGAUCAGUUAAAGGUGUUAUCAUCUCCCUCUAGGAAUUUCGAGUAAAGAGUAGUCCUCUAAAUAGGAAUUCGAACCCCUUGUAACUUU
Molecule: long non-coding RNA, 2156 nt
Organism: Drosophila ananassae
Lineage: Eukaryota; Metazoa; Arthropoda; Insecta; Diptera; Drosophilidae
Exons: 2
Source: RefSeq, a predicted model, not a curated record